This is a non-coding RNA of Pelobates cultripes (western spadefoot toad), 1216 nucleotides long. Lineage: Eukaryota; Metazoa; Chordata; Amphibia; Anura; Pelobatidae. The record is from the annotation of a GenBank genome assembly.
AGAAGCCGUACCCUCCAUUGUACACUGAAUUGGGUAUUCAAGAGUGGGCUUUAAGAUAUGCGAUAAAGGACACAAUUAAACCGGUUUUGUAAAAUUAUAUCUGGAUAGAGUCCAUGUUAGGGUCUGGAUAUGAAAAAUAAUUUUUUUUUUUACUAAAGAUAUAAAAUGAGCCAACAACGGUAUAAAAUGAGAGAAAAAAGAACUAAAAAAACAAUAAGAGUGGUGUACAGGCAAAUUGUACCAGAGUCUCCAUGACUUUGCAGUCUCAGUGAGGUACACUCCCACCGUCUGGGAGCUUCACAUUGGGAGUCCGUCAAGUGACUGUGGGUGGUCUAGGCUGGAAUAUAGGGAUCUUGAAGAUGCCCAGACUUUCCAGGUGUGUAUCUUGAGCACCGGUGCUUGUGAUGAGGCCCAGGAUACUCAUAGUGGUUUCUAGGUCCUGGAGGUUCUGUGCCUGGUGGGUGAACAGUAACAUUCUAGGAACUCCCCAGUGAUAGGUCAUUUCUUUGGUUCGGAGAACCUGUAACCUGAUGUAGUGCAGCAUUUCAUCCAUGCUUACAUCUGCAGGGAUGCCCCUUAUUUUUUAAGUUGUGGCGUCUCCUCUGAUCAUACAGUAUCUCUACUGGGCCCCUAAAAACAGCAUUGAUUAACUACACCCAGUACUCACAAGCAACCAAACCCUGCAGAUUCUUCUAAGCAGAGACUGGCCCCCCAAAAACAGCAUUGAAUAACUACACCCAGUACUCACAAGCAACCAAACCCUGCAGAAUCUUCUAAGCAGAGACUGGGCUCCUAAAAACAAAAUUGAUUAACUACACAUAGUACUCACAAGCAACCAAACCCUGCAGAAUAUUCUAAGCACACACUGGGCCCCUAAAAACAGCAUUGAUUAACUACACCCAUGUAACGGACCGUUUCUCAAACAAGAGGAUAAAAACCGUUUAGGCGAUAAUCCCCUUUCCCAUAGACCAGCAGCUACUGCAAGCACCAAACUCCCGAACUGCAAACUGUACGAAUUCACCAACUCUCGAACUGGAAACACACGAACACUGGAAUCAGCCGAACAGGAAAAGCAUACAAUCCGCUUACACUCCUGGCAGUCAGCAUACAAUCCAAUUCCCCCCAAAAACGAGACGACACAUCAGUUUGAGGGUCAAGCAGAAUCUCCUGUACUGUCACAUACAGUCUCUUUUAUUCCCAAUCCACAAACAUAGUA